Long non-coding RNA from Lytechinus variegatus (green sea urchin), 628 nucleotides. RefSeq lists it as uncharacterized. The transcript is spliced from 3 exons. Lineage: Eukaryota; Metazoa; Echinodermata; Echinoidea; Temnopleuroida; Toxopneustidae. The record is from RefSeq and is a predicted model, not a curated record.
GUCCCUGUUUUCACGAAGUGACGGAUAAGAGGAAAAUUUUCACUUUUUUCAAUUUUGAGUUUUUUGCAUUUUUGGACAUCUAUGACUUAUAUCUUGAACCUCAAAAAGUUUCAGAUCACAAUAAUGUCUAAUUACGUUGCUAUGACGACAUGACAUUCAAGAAAAUACCGGGUAAAAGGAUUUCUUGUUUUCACGAAGUGACGGAUAAGCAGCCGCCAAUACGUGAAAACAAACGAAUACGCUUUGCACUCAAGAGUUUUUUCACGAAGUGACGGAAGGCAAAUAUUUACAGUUUGGAACAGCCGAAGACCAUGAAAUGAUGCAGUAUAUACAAUAAGCGAUGUUUCAGAGAACAAAUGAGAGAAGUCCUGGAACUGGUACACUUGCUAUUUAACAAUGCUGAUGGUCAGAUACAAUUCCAGGUUAGAUCCAGGGGCCGACACGCUUGUCAGAUGGGUCAUUGAUGAUUCCCUGAACAUCGCAGAUAUGAUCUGAUUUGGUGACAUGACAGUGGAAUUGGUAGUGACUGGAUUUUUAUAGUGUGCCCUGGUUUUGAACUAUUGAAGUAACCAAACUAGAAACAUCUUCUGAGAACUCUGACUGCAAUUCUAAUGAUGAAACUCUGUCU